AUAAUUGAAUUUAUUAAAUUACAUCCUGGAUUGUAUGUUACAUUUAACAAAAGAGAUUAAAAUAUUACGAGUACAAAAUAAUACAGCAAUUGUAUCUAGGCCUAUGGGAGCAAUACAAUUCUGAUUGCAAAAAAUAUUUUUUACAUUACGCACAGUUGAGAUAUUUCACAGUAUGUGUAACACUUUACAUAAUGGCAGGGCUGUACGCUUACUUUUUUAAAUGGUAGCACAAAAAUAAUUUUGGUAGCACACAUACUAUAGUCAAAAAAUAAAUAUUAUUCAGGUACAACUAUGUGAACAGAAUAGGACGUGUGUAUACAAAAGUAAAACAAUAUGAACAAAUUUAACAACAGUUAAAGUGACAAUGAACAUAUUAAAUAGUAAAGUGACUAUGAGAGCCUCUUUUAAAACAUCAGCAGCCAGAAGUGGUGAACACAUUCAACAAAAUUAAGUAAUUAUUACAAAUUAGACAAUAUAGACUUCUUGGAUUGGUCGUAGACCAGCCAAUUGAACGUUUUUAACCACUGGGGGUUAAACCUGUAAGUUUUCCCGUUGGCCGAGACGGAGUCAUGGGUGGAGUCGGCUUCGUCCGAAGGUGCCGGUUCCGUGCUUGUGGUCGCCGAGUCAAUCUCUUCCAUACGUGGAUUUUUUUCCAAGUUUCCAUCUUUAUUUGAUGAAGAAGAACUUCCGAAUACAGAGAAAUACCUUUUCAUUUUUCUGUUUUGCUUAAAAGUGAAAUUCCCGCGACCGUUACAAAGCCUCUUCCUCAACGUGUGAAUGUUCGCGAAAUUAAGUUUUUUUGUAGUUCAGCGGAACUGGCGAGCCUAUAAUUCAAAAUACAUUUCCCUACAUGCAUCGCUCCCAUCAUGCUCCCAGCCUCCCACACACUCGCGCUUAGCAGUGCCAUUGAAAGUCGUACAGAAAGACGUAUUUUUUUCGGCACGGGUCCUUCUCACCCUUUCGCACCGGUGCGAGUGGACUUGUAUUUAUCUUCGCACGUUAGGCUAUAUAUUUCAAUAGCAAAUGCGAUCAAAGCUGUCGCACUGUACAGCCCUGAAUGACCCAAGCAUCCCAAGCUGUCCACCAGAAUGGACCUCAGAGCAGUCCAGCUGUUACUUGCUCUCCUCCAGUAAAGGCACCUGGGACUCGGCCCGUCAAGACUGUCUGGUUCGAGGAGCACAUCUGGUGACUGUGAACAGCCAGCAAGAGCAGAAGCUGAUCCUUACGAUUGGAUUUUUAGUAGAUAGAGUUUGGAUCGGCCUGCUGCAAUCAAGGGCUGGAGAAUUGGACACUGUUUGGGAAGAUGGGUCGGCGAUGGAAAGAGGGGAUGACGAAGAAAACCAUUUUUCGGAGUUACGCAAUCGCAGGAUGAGGACCUGCGCAUACUUGGACCAAAAGGAGAUGGAAAUAAAUGCCUUGAGAAGCACCUUCUGUGGGAAUAUGAACCACUGGCUUUGUGAGAAAAAACCUGUCCUAAAUAAAGGUUAACAGUAAACACGCAGUGUAUGUAGCGUCGUGUUUAAUUCUGGAAAAUCAUCAGAAUUUACCAUUUCAUUACCAGGAUUUCAAAUAUGACGAAUUUGUCAAAUGAUUUUAAGGAAUUAAAAUGAAAAGUGAGAUAAUAAGAAAAUAUACCCCAUAAAUAAUGAAUUGAAAAUAUACGGUAUAAGCCUACAAACUGUAGGAAUUAUGCUCAUGUUUUUACCUACUUGGUAAUAUUUUCUUGUUCGUGUUCCAUUUUCAUUGGCAAACAUGAAUGGAAAGAAUAUAACGAAUGGGAAUAUGUGUCGACUUUCAUCUUUCCAUACAAGUAAUGGAUUUUGUUUGAGAUUGUAUCUGUGAUAACCUUUUAAAUAAACUUGUUUUACAUGUCACUCCGGUCUGUCUGUGUGUGCGUGCG
Gadus chalcogrammus (walleye pollock) is the source of this 1900-nucleotide RNA transcript. It is a transcript of the gene named C-type lectin domain family 12 member B-like, with no coding region annotated. The transcript is spliced from 4 exons. The record is from RefSeq and is a predicted model, not a curated record. NCBI's taxonomy places the organism in Eukaryota, Metazoa, Chordata, Actinopteri, Gadiformes, Gadidae.